RNAcentral lists this transfer RNA (81 nucleotides) under Aspergillus sojae NBRC 4239. Its description in RNAcentral is "tRNA-Ser (CGA) (tRNA-Ser-CGA-2-1)". It matches the Rfam family "tRNA". From Rfam's summary of the family: Transfer RNA (tRNA) molecules are approximately 80 nucleotides in length. Their secondary structure includes four short double-helical elements and three loops (D, anti-codon, and T loops). Lineage: Eukaryota; Fungi; Ascomycota; Eurotiomycetes; Eurotiales; Aspergillaceae. The record is from RNAcentral.
GUCAGUAUGGCCGAGUGGUUAAGGCGAUAGACUCGAAAUCUAUUGGGUUCGCCCGCCUAGGUUCAAAUCCUAGUGCUGACG